This 447-nucleotide ribosomal RNA is filed under the name Salmonella enterica. RNAcentral's name for it is "partial 23S ribosomal RNA". It matches the Rfam family "Bacterial large subunit ribosomal RNA", at positions 1310 to 1757 of the family's 2925-position model. The record is from RNAcentral. Lineage: Bacteria; Pseudomonadati; Pseudomonadota; Gammaproteobacteria; Enterobacterales; Enterobacteriaceae.
CGAUAAAGCGGGUGAAAAGCCCGCUCGCCGGAAGACCAAGGGUUCCUGUCCAACGUUAAUCGGGGCAGGGUGAGUCGACCCCUAAGGCGAGGCCGAAAGGCGUAGUCGAUGGGAAACGGGUUAAUAUUCCCGUACUUGGUGUUACUGCGAAGGGGGGACGGAGAAGGCUAUGUUGGCCGGGCGACGGUUGUCCCGGUUUAAGCGUGUAGGUGUGUGUUCCAGGUAAAUCCGGUUCACUUUAACACUGAGGCGUGACGACGAGGCACUACGGUGCUGAAGCAACAAAUGCCCUGCUUCCAGGAAAAGCCUCUAAGCAUCAGGUAACAUCAAAUCGUACCCCAAACCGACACAGGUGGUCAGGUAGAGAAUACCAAGGCGCUUGAGAGAACUCGGGUGAAGGAACUAGGCAAAAUGGUGCCGUAACUUCGGGAGAAGGCACGCUGACAC